RNAcentral lists this transfer RNA (74 nucleotides) under Tremellales sp. Tagirdzhanova-0007. It matches the Rfam family "tRNA". Rfam says of the family: Transfer RNA (tRNA) molecules are approximately 80 nucleotides in length. Lineage: Eukaryota; Fungi; Basidiomycota; Tremellomycetes; Tremellales. The record is from Rfam by way of RNAcentral.
GCCCGUCUGGCUCAAUUGGUUAGAGCCUCCGACUCUUAAUCGGAAGGUUGUGGGUUCGAGUCCCACGGUGGGCU